GAUGAAGAACGUAUUGAAAUGCGAUAAGUAAUGUGAAUUGCAGAAUUCAGUGAAUCAUCGAAUCUUUGAACGCACAUUGCGCCCCCUGGUAUUCCGGGGGGCAUGCCUGUCCGAGCGUCAUUACAACCCUCAAGCUCAGCUUGGUAUUGGGCCCCGCCGACCCGGCGGGCCCUAAAGUCAGUGGCGGUGCCGUCCGGCUCCGAGCGUAGUAAUUCUUCUCGCUCUGGAGGUCCGGUCGUGUGCUCGCCAGCAACCCCCAAUUUUUUUCAGGUUGACCUCGGAUCAGGUAGGGAUACCCGCUGAACUUAAGCAUAUCAAUAAGCGGAGGA
This 329-nucleotide unclassified non-coding RNA is filed under the name soil metagenome. Its description in RNAcentral is "partial contains 5.8S ribosomal RNA, internal transcribed spacer 2, and large subunit ribosomal RNA". The stretch from base 1 to 120 matches the Rfam family "5.8S ribosomal RNA", at positions 35 to 154 of the family's 154-position model. The record is from RNAcentral.